Molecule: transfer RNA, 71 nt
Filed under: Kaloula kokacii (Catanduanes narrow-mouthed frog)
Lineage: Eukaryota; Metazoa; Chordata; Amphibia; Anura; Microhylidae
Description: tRNA-Gln
Rfam family: tRNA
About the family: Transfer RNA (tRNA) molecules are approximately 80 nucleotides in length.
Source: RNAcentral
UAGAGAGUAGUAUAGUGGGAGUACGGUGGGUUUUGAUUUCUCAGGUGCAGGUUCAAUUCCUGUCUCUCUAA